UCGCAUCAUUACCAAUCAGAACUCCCCAAAAAAAUAGCAAAUUUAUGUGUCAAAUAGAAAGUCAUUCAUCUAUAGUACACCGAUAAAAAAUAAGGAGACAACAACAAUUAAUUAACAAAAAAAUGAAAAUGAAAAUCGAUUAUUUAAAAUGCAUAGAGAAACAAUGGAUCCAUAUUAUAAUCCGGUACGUUUGCACAUAUUUCUCUACUAUUUAAUUUUCAAGGUUGUUGCCCUUUUCUUAAAACUCAACUUCUAUUUUGUGCUUGGUCAUGGCACACCAUUUGUGAGAGGAUAGUUCGAAGAGUGAGACAUUGGUUGGAGAAAAAGAGAUAAGGCUGUGCGAAAAAAAAAACGGAUAAACUACAAAAUAUGCUAGAACUACAAAUAGUACCAAUGUCUCUUGGAAAUAUGCUAGAACUACAGUAAAAACGACAGCCAGAAUUGGAAUAUAGUCAAUGAUAACAAAAAUCGUAAAAAAAUUGAGCAGCAUCUUUGGCUUUUGAAGUAGAUCGAAGCAAAUGAAGAGUAACCCAACAAAAUUUUCACAUCUCAGAUAGGGAAAAAGAAAAAAAAAUCUUAAAUUAAAGUACCAAAAGUAACAAACAAAUCCAUAAAGAAGCAAGAAUCUAGCAGGAAAUGAAGUUUCUCGAUUAGUAGAGCUACAGGAAGAACAAAUCAGCGAAAAAUAGGCUGAGAACUUACUGUGAAACAAGAGAAAGAGAGGGCCGAAGUUCUAGUCAAACAAAGAAGCAAAUGAGAGUGGAAGAGGCUGGAUGGUUUCUAGAAGCAGAUAUUCUACUUGGCGUCGUUUCCUUUGCGCUGCGGAGGAAGCAAAUGGCGGUGUCGUCGUCUCAAUUUUUUUUGUGAUAGCUUGAGAGUAGAUGGAGGAAUGGGAAAGACGAAAGGAUAUGAUGUCUGACAUAAAUAUGGCAUGUUAGAGAAGACAAGGGAUGUGAGUGGCAGAGCAUAAAACGGUGCCGUUUUUGAAUCAAUUGCGAGGAUGAAAUAAAAAAAAAUGAAAGGAAA
Molecule: long non-coding RNA, 1026 nt
Filed under: Olea europaea subsp. europaea
Lineage: Eukaryota; Viridiplantae; Streptophyta; Magnoliopsida; Lamiales; Oleaceae
Source: RNAcentral